RNAcentral lists this long non-coding RNA (661 nucleotides) under Gallus gallus (chicken). RNAcentral's name for it is "lncRNA (ENSGALG00010021906.1)". The record is from RNAcentral. Lineage: Eukaryota; Metazoa; Chordata; Aves; Galliformes; Phasianidae.
GAUCCCUCCUCUGGGAGUUUUUCUGUGAGCCUACAACAUGGCUGAGCAUUUUUGUUUAUUUUUGGUUAUCUCUUUCCACUGUGAUAAUCCUUCUAGUUAUACAGUCUAUAGUUACGUGCCUAACCACACCACUUUGUAUAUUUCUUGCUUGUACAGUCUACCAUUUUAAUGAUUAGAUGGUCCUGAUGUGGUGGAGAGUGUCUGUGCUGGUUCUGCUGUUGAGAAAUACAGAUACUGAUGUCACCACUGGGGAGAGAAUGGGGCAAGGACAAGUUCAGCAGUCACCAGAUAAGGAAGACCACUCUUUUUCCAUCAGUUUGAAGAGAUUUGGCAGAGUUUUAAGUAACACCAUAAUUUUCCUGAAGAUGGAUUUGCUUGUACAACUUGCCAGCUAGAGCUUGUGCUGUCCACAAAAGUUCCUCCCUUUUAGACACAUUUGCAACACUUCCCAGACCAGUUUGUUCAUUCACCUUACAGCUUGAAACCCUUGUUUCAGGGCAGGCUUGUUUCUUCUACUGUAUUUUUACUGCCCCUUGAGUGACAUCAUUCAAAUGGGGCACGCUUGUUUUUGCCCAGAGUUGCUUCUUCAGUUCCAUCAAGUUACAUCUUGAGUAUCAGAGGUGGAGAGGAGUAAAUCUGGAUCAGUUCUGGAUUCUCAGCA